Molecule: long non-coding RNA, 212 nt
Filed under: Elaeis guineensis (African oil palm)
Lineage: Eukaryota; Viridiplantae; Streptophyta; Magnoliopsida; Arecales; Arecaceae
Description: long non-coding RNA (EGUI_LNC070900)
Source: RNAcentral
AUAUAUAAAAGCAUGUAUAGAUCUGAAUUUUAUUCUAGAACGAUUUUUAGUUCAUAUUUAUGUGAUAUGUAGAUGCAUGCAUAAAUCUAAAAUUUAAUUUGACAUAAUUUAUGAUUCAUAUAUGAGAUAUAUGAUUAUAUAUUUAGAUCAAAAAAUUAUUUUUGAUAUAAUUCAUGAUUUGUAUAUGGGAUAUAUGAUAUCAUAUUAUGAUC